This 253-nucleotide ribosomal RNA is filed under the name uncultured bacterium. RNAcentral's name for it is "partial 16S ribosomal RNA". It matches the Rfam family "Bacterial small subunit ribosomal RNA", at positions 524 to 776 of the family's 1533-position model. The record is from RNAcentral.
CACGUAGGGCGCGAGCGUUGUCCGGAAUUAUUGGGCGUAAAGAGCUCGUAGGCGGCCUGUUGCGUCCGCUGUGAAAGCCCGGGGCUUAACCCCGGGUCGGCAGUGGAUACGGGCAGGCUAGAGGUAGGUAGGGGAGAAUGGAAUUCCCGGUGUAGCGGUGAAAUGCGCAGAUAUCGGGAGGAACACCAGUGGCGAAGGCGAUCACCUGGGGUUGUUCUGACGCUGAGGAGCGAAAGCUAGGGGAGCAAACGGG